This 348-nucleotide ribosomal RNA is filed under the name uncultured bacterium. RNAcentral's name for it is "bacterial SSU rRNA". It matches the Rfam family "Bacterial small subunit ribosomal RNA", at positions 8 to 350 of the family's 1533-position model. The record is from RNAcentral.
AGAGUUUGAUCCUGGCUCAGGAUAAACGCUAGCUACAGGCUUAACACAUGCAAGUCGAGGGGCAGCAUGGUCUUAGCUUGCUAAGACCGAUGGCGACCGGCGCACGGGUGAGUAACGCGUAUCCAACCUGCCUUACACUCUUGGACAGCCUUCUGAAAGGGAGAUUAAUACAAGAUGUUAUCAUGAGUAAGCAUUUUCACAUGAUUAAAGGUUACCGGUGUAAGAUGGGGAUGCGUUCCAUUAGAUAGUAGGCGGGUAACGGCCACCUAGUCUUCGAUGGAUAGGGGUUCUGAGAGGAAGGUCCCCCACAUUGGAACUGAGACACGGUCCAAACUCCUACGGGAGGCA